Molecule: ribosomal RNA, 309 nt
Filed under: Triticum aestivum (bread wheat)
Lineage: Eukaryota; Viridiplantae; Streptophyta; Magnoliopsida; Poales; Poaceae
Description: partial small subunit ribosomal RNA
Source: RNAcentral
AUGAUCAUGGCGUCAACACAGGCCUCCGGGGGAGCAUCACAUGAUCUUGGCGACACGGUUACGUCAUUAGUUACAGAGUUCUUCGGAGGGGACGUUAUUGGCCCAUCUUUUAUCCCCCGGAGUCACAACCAUACGCCUACAAUUAUGCUUCAGGUUCGCAACAAGGAUUCGCGACUCCACCACCUACGCAGGACUCGCAGACACAUGAAGCCGAAUUGGAGUACGACCGCGGUCUUCGUGUGCCCCGGCCACCUAAUCGCUUGUCGCCUUCCGGUCGUAAGGAAAGGCCAGGUGGUCGUCGUUAAGUAG